Molecule: long non-coding RNA, 200 nt
Filed under: Vitis vinifera (wine grape)
Lineage: Eukaryota; Viridiplantae; Streptophyta; Magnoliopsida; Vitales; Vitaceae
Description: long non-coding RNA (VVIN_LNC005469)
Source: RNAcentral
UUGUUCUUUAUGUGAAAUUUGUUUAAGAGUGAUCUAGUUCCUUUUUAGCUUUCCUUUAGGUGUCUAAGUCGCAUCUUUGAUCUUAUUUCCACUUGGUUUUUCCCACUUAUACAUAUGCCCAUUGACUUCAGUAUGGGAAAGGGCUCGGUUUAAUGUCUUCUUUGGCUUAUUUGAUGCCUUGUUUUUAUGCUUGCUCCCUU